CAUACACACUAAGACCAUUUACUAUGACAUUGUUAGUCAGAGCUAACAAUGUCGAUCCUUCUUCCCCUGAUCAGAAAGCCUGUCGGGUCACCACCGUCAUCCCAUAUAAUAUGGGACACAUCAUGUUCCAAUACUGGAUCGUCCCGAUUUAUAAGGGACAGGUAGCAACCCUACACAUGAGGCAGUUGGUGUGAAGAUCGCGUAGCAGACAUGCACCACUUCCACCUGGGUUUGCCACGCAGGCCACUCUGCUCCCUCUAAACGUGCUCACCAGCAGACCAAGGCACCCCAAAGGUUCCUACCCUGCUAGCAUGCCCGCUUUAGUUCUGCCUUAAUUCAUUUUCCCUCUUUUUUCCUUUUUUCCCCUUUUGGGAGAGAUUCUGCCUUCACUUCUCCCUGCCUGGCUGUGGUUACACAGCUAAUAAAGAACUUUGUGUUGUGUACCCUGCCAUUGCUCUCUCCAGUCCCUGGAUUAUGCUUGCACCCCACCAUAAUAAUUUAAUGAAAAUUAAACCAAAUCCAUUAUUAGAUAAUAAGUGUAAUUUCUUCCUGUAAAUCUUCUACUAACUAAGGAGAUUGCACCACUGAUUAGCACUACCCCAUUAAACUUGUCUCUUAAGCUUGGAUAUGUUCCAAAACCUUUUAAAAUAGUUGUUAUUAGACCUAUUCUUAAGAACCCAAAUCUUGAACUUAGUGAUUUAGUAAAUUAUAGACCGAUCUCAAAUCUUGCUUUCAUUUCAAAGAUCCUGGAAAGGAGUUGUUGUUCAUCCGCUGUCUUCUUUCCUACAGAAAAAUGAAGCUGAUAAAUUAUAUCAGACUGGCUUUAGAUCAAAUCAUAGCACAGAAACAACCUUAGUCAAAGUAAUGAAUGAUUUGCUUAUGGCUUCCGAUCAUGGCUGUAUAUCUUUGUUGGUGUUACAAGAUCUAACACUGCAGCAUUUGGUACUGUGGCCCACAAUAUUCUCUUGGGCCGGCUGGAAUCUGUGGCUGGCAUUAAGGGGACAGCUCUCUCUUGGUUUCGCUCUUAUUUAACUGAUCAUUAUCAGUUUGUCCAUGUGAAUGAUGAAUCUUCCAAGUCCACUAAAGUCAAAUAUGGUGUCCCACAUGGAUCAGUGCUGGGCCCGCUACUGUUCACUUUAUGCAUGCUACCACUUGGUAACAUUAUUAGAAAUCAUGGUGUUGGGUUCCAUGGUUAUACUGAUGAUACACAGAUAUACAUAUCUGUUAAACUAGAUAAUGCAUUCCAGCUCCCUAGCUUAGAAAGUUGUGUACUAAACAUACGGUGUUGAGAGAGAGGGGUAAGGAGCAUGCACUGAUCACAGUGCGUUGCCGGACUCACCACAUGACAAACCACCUUACAGAUGUGAACCUCAUUGCAGCCAUGUGGCGGGUGAUACCUCAGCACCAUACUAGUCUGAAUGGAAUGGAAUACGGUAUUGGAUGGCAAAAAAAAAUCCUUGUGUUAAACACAGAAAAAAUUGAAAUACUUCUAGUUGGUCCUAAGCCAACCUUUUAGGUCUCACACACUUAUUUCAACCAGUUCACACACUCACAUGCCACACCUUAUAUUUCUCACACUGCGAAGGGAUAACGCCCAUGAAGGUGUAUCAUUAUAUAGAAUUAAUGGACAAGUUACAGGCAUACAGAGUGGAGUUUUCCACCGAGUCCAUAGCUCUCCCGAGUUAUACAGAGUUAAUAGCCACCUACCAGCCAGAAAAUAGCAUUUGUUUCUGGGCAAAUUCCAAAAUAAGUUACACGUGAUCCCGCUGCAAGAAUGUUAUUACAUGGAUGUGCAUACAAGUGCAGACAAGGCUGAAGUGGAAGAGCAAGAUCAGAUGAACGCAGUAGGCAGGGCUCACAAGUCUCACCCAUUGCAUGGACCAUGAGACACAUGCUCCGACCCUAACAGAUGUAAUCUCACUCCAAACUUUUGAGGAAACUUGAGAGUCCUGGUCCUAAGUCUGCUCAAAAUAGUUUGACAACCUCAACCUUGGUGCAGGGUACUCACGGUCAUGGAAAACCUGGAAAAGUUUUGGAAUUUUUAAAUAAUUUUUCCAGGACCUGGAUAAGUUUUGGAAUUCUUGGAUACAGAAGAAACGUUUUGGAAAUUAGCCUUUUUCAUUAUGUAACGGAAAUGUUUCAUUUCAUAACAGAAAUGUACUAGCUGAAGUCAUUAGUUAACUAUCUUGGUAAACAUCCUUUUCCGGCACUUUUACCGUUAAAAGCGUAUUUGAGAUCGCUGCUUUUUUGCUCGCUAUUCCAGUUUUUAUUGUUUUAUUUAUUUAGUUUUUUGCACGUAUUUGAAUUUUAUUGAUCACAGUGUCUUGAUUUUGACUCCGUUUGCCUCUACCAAUCAUAAGAAAUGUCCUUUCCUUGCAUGGAACUGAAUCGUCCAGAGUUGUUUGAUUUUCACGGUGUGUCUAUGACUCACUACUUCACUGAUAGCUGGGACAAAGUGCAGAAUUUCAAGGCCAGACCUGAUGACAUUGUGAUCGCAACCUAUGCUAAAGCAGGUACAACCUGGGUUUCCCAGAUUUUGGACCUGCUGUACUUUGGAAAGUCUGAUCCUGGCCGCCAGACCUCCAUUCCUAUAUAUGAAAGAGUUCCUUUCCUAGAGAUUCGCAUCCGAAAUGUACCUACAGGAGAGACAGCAAUCAGAAAAAAGUUGUAAAAGCAUCUUCAAAAUGAAAAAUAGGUUAAUGGAACAGGAUUUUGCCUGCUUCAAAGUAGAAUAUAUGCUGAAGUCUGACUUCGUCAAACGCUGACGCACAUGUUCUUCGCUGUUAUUUUAUUGCAUGCAGAUCAUGUAACUAUGGGAAAAUUGAUUUCAACUGGAAUUUCCAAUGAUUCCUAAAAUAAGCAUGAUAUACACAGAUUAGCCAAAACAGUAGGACCACCCCCCCAUGUGAAGCGUGUCAAGUUCUGGAACAAGGUUUGCAACAGAAAAUGGGAUUCAUCUGACUAGAUAACCUUCUCCCAUUGCUCCAAGGUUCAGUUCCAACUCUUGCACGCCCAUUGUAGGAGCUUUUGACAGUCGACAGGGGUCAGAAUGGGCACUGACUGGCUUACAGCUACAUAGCCCCAUACACUGCAUAUGAUGCCUUGUGUGUCUUGACACAGUACUCCCAUGAUCAUCAUCAAAAUUGUCUGCCAUUUGUGCCACAGUAGUCCUUCUGUUGGUUUAUACUGCAUGGGACAGCCUUCAUUCACAUCUGAGUCUUGGCCGCCCAACACCCCGUCGGUGGUUCAUGAUUCUUUCCCUUCUUAGACCACUCUCAAUAGGCACUCACCAUGGCUGGCCGUGAGCAUCCCACAAGCCUGGCUGUUUCUGAGAUACUCUGGCCCAGUCCUAUGAACACAAUGGCUUGGCCCUUGUCAAAGUCACUUAGAUCUUCAUCCCUGCCCAUUUCAUCAAGAAGUUGACUACAAGUACCAAAUGUUAGCUUGUGUCAUCAGAUCACUGGUUUGAGCUCCAGCCUCGGCAGAAUAGUCACAUGUCCUUGGGCCCUUGGGUCCUUGGGCGAGGCCCUUAAUCCCCAACUCCAGGGGUGCUACACAUUUGCUGCCCCUGUGCUAUUACCAUUAUACUGGCCCAGUUAUCUGCAAAGGUUUCAGGAGGGAAAAGGUGAGUAGAUAUGGGGGAAAUUAUGAGCAGGAUUGUGCAGGACCGUGUAGAGUGAGUGA
Paramormyrops kingsleyae is the source of this 3684-nucleotide non-coding RNA. The record is from RefSeq and is a predicted model, not a curated record. Lineage: Eukaryota; Metazoa; Chordata; Actinopteri; Osteoglossiformes; Mormyridae.